AACGAACGCUGGCGGCAUGCCUAACACAUGCAAGUCGAACGAGACCUUCGGGUCUAGUGGCGCACGGGUGCGUAACGCGUGGGAACCUGCCCUUAGGUUCGGAAUAACUCCCCGAAAGGGGUGCUAAUACCGGAUAAUGUCUUCGGACCAAAGAUUUAUCGCCUUUGGAUGGGCCCGCGUUGGAUUAGCUAGUUGGUAGGGUAAAAGCCUACCAAGGCGACGAUCCAUAGCUGGUCUGAGAGGAUGAUCAGCCACACUGGGACUGAGACACGGCCCAGACUCCUACGGGGGGCAGCAGUGGGGAAUAUUGGACAAUGGGCGAAAGCCUGAUCCAGCAAUGCCGCGUGAGUGAUGAAGGCCUUGGGGUUGUAAAGCUCUUUUACCCGGGAUGAUAAUGACAGUACCGGGAGAAUAAGCUCCGGCUAACUCCGUG
RNAcentral lists this ribosomal RNA (433 nucleotides) under uncultured bacterium. RNAcentral describes it as "partial 16S ribosomal RNA". It matches the Rfam family "Bacterial small subunit ribosomal RNA", at positions 29 to 507 of the family's 1533-position model. The record is from RNAcentral.